RNAcentral lists this ribosomal RNA (253 nucleotides) under uncultured bacterium. Its description in RNAcentral is "partial 16S ribosomal RNA". It matches the Rfam family "Bacterial small subunit ribosomal RNA", at positions 524 to 776 of the family's 1533-position model. The record is from RNAcentral.
UACGAGGGGGGCGAGCGUUGUUCGGAAUUAUUGGGCGUAAAGGGCUCGUAGGCGGUCUGUCACGUCGGGAGUGAAAACACGGGGCUUAACCCCGUGCCUGCUUCCGAUACGGGCAGACUAGAGGUAUGCAGGGGAGAACGGAAUUCCUGGUGUAGCGGUGAAAUGCGCAGAUAUCAGGAGGAACACCGGUGGCGAAAGCACUCUGCUGGGCCGACACUGACACUGAGAGACGAAAGCUAGGGGAGCGAAUGGG